Long non-coding RNA from Dufourea novaeangliae, 295 nucleotides. RefSeq lists it as uncharacterized. The transcript is spliced from 5 exons. NCBI's taxonomy places the organism in Eukaryota, Metazoa, Arthropoda, Insecta, Hymenoptera, Halictidae. The record is from RefSeq and is a predicted model, not a curated record.
AAACUAGGACCGAGUAAAAUAGUCAUUUCUUUGAUUGGUCUACAAGUGGCAAAGAUGUUUUAAACACUUCCUCUAUGAUGUACGAGGUGCAGUAAUUCUAUGGCGAAAUCAGAUGUUUUAAACAGUUCCUGUAUGAUGUACGAGUUACAGUAAUUCUAUGGCGAAGUCAGAUAUCGUGCAAGUUACACUGUACAGUAGUACAAAUGGGAAUAUAUGGAAUGAAAAGAUAUGCGUAAAAACUAUACGGAAUGAGUGAUUGUUUAGGAAAAGUUAAAUUUAUUCGAUAAAAGAUUUA